CACCGCCUCCGCCUCCUCCCAUUCCGACACCUACGCCUCCUGCAUGACCAGACCAAUACCCUAUCAUGUUAUGUCCAUGUCUACCACCGUGUCUGUAGUGUGUGUGUCUGUGACCCUUACCAUGUCCAUAUCCAUGUCCACUUCCGUGACCGUGACCGUGUCCACUUCCUGCACCAUGACCAGAACCUCCUCCGCUUCCACCACCUCCGCCUCCACCAGAACCACCACCAACUCCUCCACCAUGUCCAUGUCCAUGUCCAUGUCCACUUCCGGAUCCAUGACCGGACCCUCCACCCUUUCCACUACCUCCACCACCGCCGCCGCCGCCACCACCACCACCUCCUCCUUUUACACCACCCCCAUGACCGUAUCCACUUCCUGAACCAUGACCAUAGCCUCCACCCUUUCCACUAC
This 414-nucleotide long non-coding RNA is filed under the name Zostera marina. Its description in RNAcentral is "long non-coding RNA (ZMAR_LNC000328)". The record is from RNAcentral. Lineage: Eukaryota; Viridiplantae; Streptophyta; Magnoliopsida; Alismatales; Zosteraceae.